RNAcentral lists this long non-coding RNA (440 nucleotides) under Setaria viridis. RNAcentral describes it as "long non-coding RNA (SVIR_LNC008720)". The record is from RNAcentral. Lineage: Eukaryota; Viridiplantae; Streptophyta; Magnoliopsida; Poales; Poaceae.
CUCUUGACAUUAUCCCAAGUCCAUAGGAGAAAUGCAAUUCGGUUCUCUACAGCGGUAAUGCUCCUAUAAGAUGCACAUCGUGCUGGCGAUCUAAACAGCUCAGUACCUAUGAAGUACAACUCGUACCCAUUCGGGACACCAUCUUGUUCUACAAGGUGCAGCAUUUUCAUAACCUCCUCUUCCUCAUUGCUGAUUAGAUUUCUUUCAUUCAUAGUCCUUUAAAUCAUGCUCUUAGAUAUGCGCUUGACAUAGUACUCCAUACUCUUACUCUACUUGGGUGGUGGACUAUCAACAACAUGCUCCUUUCCUGACCUUUGCGACACACGACCCACACUAGACCAUCCAACAUUGUCCUCCAACCAGGCAUCAUUCUCCUCCGCCAUUGGAUCAAGGUUGCCUUCACUUCCACAACUUGGUGUUCUAUCUCCAAUUCCACACAC